This 468-nucleotide ribosomal RNA is filed under the name uncultured bacterium. RNAcentral describes it as "partial 16S ribosomal RNA". It matches the Rfam family "Bacterial small subunit ribosomal RNA", at positions 28 to 507 of the family's 1533-position model. The record is from RNAcentral.
GACGAACGCUGGCGGCGUGCUUACCACAUGCAAGUCGAACGGAAAGGCCCUGCUUUUGUGGGGUGCUCGAGUGGCGAACGGGUGAGUAACACGUGAGUAACCUGCCCUUGACUUUGGGAUAACUUCAGGAAACUGGGGCUAAUACCGGAUAGGAGCUCCUGCUGCAUGGUGGGGGUUGGAAAGUUUCGGCAGUUGGGGAUGGACUCGCGGCUUAUCAGCUUGUUGGUGGGGUAGUGGCUUACCAAGGCUUUGACGGGUAGCCGGCCUGAGAGGGUGACCGGCCACAUUGGGACUGAGAUACGGCCCAGACUCCUACGGGAGGCAGCAGUGGGGAAUAUUGCACAAUGGGCGGAAGCCUGAUGCAGCAACGCCGCGUGCGGGAUGACGGCCUUCGGGUUGUAAACCGCUUUCGCCUGUGACGAAGCGUGAGUGACGGUAAUGGGUAAAGAAGCACCGGCUAACUACGUG